This 305-nucleotide ribosomal RNA is filed under the name uncultured bacterium. Its description in RNAcentral is "partial 16S ribosomal RNA". It matches the Rfam family "Bacterial small subunit ribosomal RNA", at positions 508 to 809 of the family's 1533-position model. The record is from RNAcentral.
ACAGCAGCAGCCCGGUAAUACAGAGGUCUCAAGCGUUGUUCGGAUUCAUUGGGCGUAAAGGGUGCGUAGGCGGUCGGGUAAGUCGGAUGUGAAAUCCUGGGGCUCAACCUCAGAACUGCAUUCGAUACUGCUUGGCUAGAGGACUGGAGAGGAGACUGGAAUUCACGGUGUAGCAGUGAAAUGCGUAGAUAUCGUGAGGAAGACCAGCGGCGAAGGCGGGUCUCUGGACAGUUCCUGACGCUGAUGCACGAAGGCCAGGGGAGCAAACGGGAUUAGAUACCCCAGUAGUCCCUGUCUCUUAUACA